Molecule: ribosomal RNA, 214 nt
Filed under: Escherichia coli
Lineage: Bacteria; Pseudomonadati; Pseudomonadota; Gammaproteobacteria; Enterobacterales; Enterobacteriaceae
Description: partial 23S ribosomal RNA
Rfam family: Bacterial large subunit ribosomal RNA
Source: RNAcentral
GUUAAGCGACUAAGCGUACACGGUGGAUGCCCUGGCAGUCAGAGGCGAUGAAGGACGUGCUAAUCUGCGAUAAGCGUCGGUAAGGUGAUAUGAACCGUUAUAACCGGCGAUUUCCGAAUGGGGAAACCCAGUGUGUUUCGACACACUAUCAUUAACUGAAUCCAUAGGUUAAUGAGGCGAACCGGGGGAACUGAAACAUCUAAGUACCCCGAGG